AGUGAACGCUGGCGGUAGGCCUAACACAUGCAAGUCGAACGGCAGCACAGUAAGAGCUUGCUCUUACGGGUGGCGAGUGGCGGACGGGUGAGGAAUACAUCGGAAUCUACUUUUUCGUGGGGGAUAACGUAGGGAAACUUACGCUAAUACCGCAUACGACCUACGGGUGAAAGCAGGGGAUCUUCGGACCUUGCGCGACUGAAUGAGCCGAUGUCGGAUUAGCUAGUAGGCGGGGUAAAGGCCCACCAAGGCAACGAUCCGGUGCUGGUCUGAGAGGAUGAUCAGCCACACUGGAACUGAGACACGGUCCAGACUCCUACGGGAGGCAGCAGUGGGGAAUAUUGGACAAUGGGCGCAAGCCUGAUCCAGCCAUGCCGCGUGUGUGAAGAAGGCCUUCGGGUUGUAAAGCCCUUUUGUUGGGAAAGAAAAGCAGCAGGUUAAUACCCCGCUGUUCUGACGGUACCCAAAGAAUAAGCACCGGCUAACUUCGUG
Molecule: ribosomal RNA, 492 nt
Filed under: uncultured bacterium
Lineage: Bacteria
Description: partial 16S ribosomal RNA
Rfam family: Bacterial small subunit ribosomal RNA
Source: RNAcentral